UUAGGGGAAGCCAAAAAGAGGCAAAUCACUGUUAAUGAUACAAUUGAAAUUUAAUUUCCUCCUAAG
RNAcentral lists this transfer RNA (66 nucleotides) under Gastroptychus investigatoris. RNAcentral describes it as "tRNA-Asn". The record is from RNAcentral. Lineage: Eukaryota; Metazoa; Arthropoda; Malacostraca; Decapoda; Chirostylidae.